GGGGAUAUAGCUCAGCAGCAUAGCCCCUGCCUUGCAAGCAUAAGGUCCUGAGUUCGAUCCUCAGUACCA
Molecule: transfer RNA, 69 nt
Filed under: Cavia porcellus (domestic guinea pig)
Lineage: Eukaryota; Metazoa; Chordata; Mammalia; Rodentia; Caviidae
Rfam family: tRNA
About the family: Transfer RNA (tRNA) molecules are approximately 80 nucleotides in length. Their secondary structure includes four short double-helical elements and three loops (D, anti-codon, and T loops).
Source: Rfam by way of RNAcentral